UGGGGAAUAUUGGACAAUGGGGGCAACCCUGAUCCAGCAAUGCCGCGUGUGUGAAGAAGGCCUGCGGGUUGUAAAGCACUUUCAGUAGAGAAGAAAAGCUUACGGUUAAUACCCGUGAGUCUUGACGUAACCUACAGAAGAAGCACCGGCUAACUCCGUGCCAGCAGCCGCGGUAAUACGGAGGGUGCGAGCGUUAAUCGGAAUUACUGGGCGUAAAGCGCGCGUAGGCGGUUUUGUAAGUCGGAUGUGAAAGCCCAGGGCUUAACCUUGGAAUUGCAUUCGAUACUGCAGAACUCGAGUAUGGUAGAGGGAAGUGGAAUUCCCGGUGUAGCGGUGAAAUGCGCAGAUAUCGGGAGGAACACCAGUAGCGAAGGCGGCUCGCUGGGCCAUUCCUGACGCUGAGACGCGAAAGCGUGGGGAGCAAACAGGAUUAGAUACCCCGGUAGUCC
Molecule: ribosomal RNA, 449 nt
Filed under: uncultured prokaryote
Description: bacterial SSU rRNA
Rfam family: Bacterial small subunit ribosomal RNA
Source: RNAcentral